RNAcentral lists this ribosomal RNA (1477 nucleotides) under uncultured bacterium. RNAcentral describes it as "partial 16S ribosomal RNA". It matches the Rfam family "Bacterial small subunit ribosomal RNA". The record is from RNAcentral.
GACGAACGCUGGCGGCGUGCUUAACACAUGCAAGUCGAACGGAAAGGCCCUGCUUUUGUGGGGUGCUCGAGUGGCGAACGGGUGAGUAACACGUGAGUAACCUGCCCUUGACUUUGGGAUAACUUCAGGAAACUGGGGCUAAUACCGGAUAGGAGCUCCUGCUGCAUGGUGGGGGUUGGAAAGUUUCGGCGGUUGGGGAUGGACUCGCGGCUUAUCAGCUUGUUGGUGGGGUAGUGGCUUACCAAGGCUUUGACGGGUAGCCGGCCUGAGAGGGUGACCGGCCACAUUGGGACUGAGAUACGGCCCAGACUCCUACGGGAGGCAGCAGUGGGGAAUAUUGCACAAUGGGCGGAAGCCUGAUGCAGCAACGCCGCGUGCGGGAUGACGGCCUUCGGGUUGUAAACCGCUUUCGCCUGUGACGAAGCGUGAGUGACGGUAAUGGGUAAAGAAGCACCGGCUAACUACGUGCCAGCAGCCGCGGUGAUACGUAGGGUGCGAGCGUUGUCCGGAUUUAUUGGGCGUGAAGGGCUCGUAGGUGGUUGAUCGCGUCGGAAGUGUAAUCUUGGGGCUUAACCCUGAGCGUGCUUUCGAUACGGGUUGACUUGAGGAAGGUAGGGGAGAAUGGAAUUCCUGGUGGAGCGGUGGAAUGCGCAGAUAUCAGGAGGAACACCAGUGGCGAAGGCGGUUCUCUGGGCCUUUCCUGACGCUGAGGAGCGAAAGCGUGGGGAGCGAACAGGCUUAGAUACCCUGGUAGUCCACGCUGUAAACGGUGGGUACUAGGUGUGGGGUCCAUUCCACGGGUUCCGUGCCGUAGCUAACGCUUUAAGUACCCCGCCUGGGGAGUACGGCCGCAAGGCUAAAACUCAAAGGAAUUGACGGGGCCCCGCACAAGCGGCGGAGCAUGCGGAUUAAUUCGAUGCAACGCGUAGAACCUUACCUGGGUUUGACAUGGAUCGGGAGUGCUCAGAGAUGGGUGUGCCUCUUUUGGGGUCGGUUCACAGGUGGUGCAUGGCUGUCGUCAGCUCGUGUCGUGAGAUGUUGGGUUAGGUCCCGCAACGGGCGCAACCCUUGUUCACUGUUGCCAGCACGUUAUGGUGGGGACUCAGUGGAGACCGCCGGGGCCAACUCGGAGGAAGGUGGGGAUGACGUCAAGUCAUCAUGCCCCUUAUGUCCAGGGCUUCACGCAUGCUACAAUGGCUGGUACAGAGAGUGGCGAGCCUGUGAGGGUGAGCGAAUCUCGGAAAGCCGGUCUCAGUUCGGAUUGGGGUCUGCAACUCGACCACAUGAAGUCGGAGUCGCUAGUAAUCGCAGAUCAGCAACGCUGCGGUGAAUACGUUCCCGGGGCUUGUACACACCGCCCGUCAAGUCAUGAAAGUUGGUGACACCCGAAGCCGGUGGCCUAACCGUUGUGGGGGAGCCGUCGAAGGUGGGACUGGUGAUUAGGACUAAGUCGUAACAAGGUAGCCGUACCGGAGGG